This 555-nucleotide small RNA is filed under the name Pan troglodytes (chimpanzee). RNAcentral describes it as "processed transcript". Lineage: Eukaryota; Metazoa; Chordata; Mammalia; Primates; Hominidae. The record is from RNAcentral.
UAUACACUGCGCUGUGACAUGAAGCGGUCUCUGUUGGCCAAGGACUUGACAAAGACCUGUGAAUUUAUCGUUCACUCCGCUCCUCAGAAGGGGAAGUUUACUCCCAGUCCCGUGGACUUCACGAUUACACCUGAAACCUUACAGAACGUCAAAGAGGAUCAAGUGAAGGACAAGCUGGGAGGCCUGGGCCCUGGGAUGUCAUUGGCCUCAUCCCUCAGAGGCUGGACAUGUGUCGUGGGGAGCCUUUCAGACAGGCCCCCGCCCGAUGGCAGGCUGACCACACGCCCUGCGAGCACACCCGCUCUCACUGCUCCCCCUGCCACCUGGAGGACGGGUGCCCCGAACUCCCGGGAGCCGGAUUGUCUGUCCACUUUCUGCCGGACAGAAACACUUCACUGGGGUGGUCCCCACGGGGCGUUCCUUGUGGCUUUUCUAGGUAUAGGUUUAUUUGUAAACACGAAGAACUUUUCUUUCCACAGAACCAUUCAGGUUUAUUGUUGGAAAAUAAGAAAAUAACACAUAAAACAAAUAAAAUAAAAUUUCUUAUUCACAAAA